Molecule: ribosomal RNA, 593 nt
Filed under: Auxis thazard (frigate tuna)
Lineage: Eukaryota; Metazoa; Chordata; Actinopteri; Scombriformes; Scombridae
Description: partial 16S ribosomal RNA
Rfam family: Bacterial large subunit ribosomal RNA
Source: RNAcentral
CUUGUAAGAGGUCCAGCCUGCCCUGUGACGUUUAACGGCCGCGGUAUUUUAACCGUGCGAAGGUAGCGCAAUCACUUGUCUUUUAAAUGGAGACCUGUAUGAAUGGCAUUACGAGGGCUUAACUGUCUCCUUUUUCAAGUCAGUGAAAUUGAUCUCCCCGUGCAGAAGCGGGGAUACACCCAUAAGACGAGAAGACCCUAUGGAGCUUUUUGGUUGGGGCGACCGCGGGGCCCCAACCAAGAGCUCUAAUUAACAGAUUCUGACCAGAUCCGGGAUCAACGGACCGAGUUACCCUAGGGAUAACAGCGCAAUCCCCUUUUAGAGCCCAUAUCGACAAGGGGGUUUACGACCUCGAUGUUGGAUCAGGACAUCCUAAUGGUGCAGCCGCGCCUAGCCGUAAACAUUGAUAGAUCUAUCCGCCUGGGUACUACGAGCAUCAGCUUGAAACCCAAAGGACUUGGCGGUACUUUAGAUCCCCCUAGAGGAGCCUGUUCUAUAACCGAUGACCCCCGUUCAACCUCACCCUCCCUUGCCCGCCUAUAUACCGCCGUCGUCAGCUUACCCUGUGAAGGUCUAAUAGUAAGCAAAAUUGG